UACGUAGGGGGCAAGCGUUAUCCGGAUUUACUGGGUGUAAAGGGAGCGUAGACGGCAGUGCAAGUCCGGAGUGAAAGCCCGGGGCUCAACCCUGGGACUGCUCUGGAAACUGUAAAGCUGGAGUGCGGGAGGGGCAGGCGGAAUUCCUGGUGUAGCGGUGAAAUGCGUAGAUAUCAGGAGGAACACCGGCGGCGAAGGCGGCCUGCUGGACCGUAACUGACGUUGAGGCUCGAAAGCGUGGGGAGCAAAUAGG
This 253-nucleotide ribosomal RNA is filed under the name uncultured bacterium. RNAcentral's name for it is "partial 16S ribosomal RNA". It matches the Rfam family "Bacterial small subunit ribosomal RNA", at positions 524 to 776 of the family's 1533-position model. The record is from RNAcentral.